AUGAUGCUCUCUGUCUGAGAGAAAUCAGUUGAUUUGUUCAGAUGAAUUAGAGGUUUACAACAUUUUUUUGAAAACGUACACUGUCUGAGAUAUUGCAUGAGACCUCUGUCUUCCAAUCCAGUUGUUUUUUGUUUUCAGAUAUGGAUCACCUGUGCUGUAAUGUAUAAAAAUAUCACUAAGUACUUAAACAACCUUAACUGAAUUCCCUGGAUUUGGAGUGUUUGUUCUGAGGAUGUUUGCAAUGCCCUGGGCAAUGUGUAUAUUUGUCCCUGUCCUGACUUACUGAUAAGUCCUCUCAACCUUCACCUAAUUUCUGGCUUUAGAACAAACAGGCAGCUUAAUGUUUCUGAGAGGUUGUAUAUCUAGGAGCAGCAGCCGCAAUGUCUCCUAAGAGCAGGGAAAUCAUCGGGGAGGCAGCUUGCAGCACCAGGGACGUCACUCUGGAGUUAUGAGAUCACAAUGGCUACUCAAGCUUGCAAUGCUGUGAGCAGGAUGUGAGGAGGAUGGGAGGCAGUCUGGAGCCCUUCUUUGCACUUGGUCCCUUUGGAACAGGUCAGAAAUGAAGCCCUUUACUCUGAUGUCCCAGUCCCUGGAGAAGCUGAAGUGACUACCGACUCACACUUGUCAUCCACAAAGGCAGCUCUCAUUUCAGCACUAGAGGCAGCUGCCAGGGCAGGAUGAGGCUGAAGCACUGCCCUCAGAAAAGCAGGACCAUCAACACACCAUGCCCUAUACAUGUCUUUCCUGUGUGCACCUUCUAUCUUGGUGGCACAUGAUGGGGAGAAGGAGGAAGGACUCUUUUUUGUGCUUAAAUUCAUCACUUUGAUGAAGCUGAGGGAGUGAGUCUUGUGUCCUUCAGCACUGUAAAUAGCAUCCCACUUUCUUCCUGUGAUCAGCUGUGAAAAUUAGGCUCCUGUGUCCUUGGGGACAAAUUUCCAGUACUGGGCGAAGGUUGGAGGUAGCAGUGUCUGGGUCUUUAAGCCAUCCAGACUUUAACUCCUGUGGUUCUCACAUUGGUUAAGUUUUGGUGACCUUGAUAAUGGAUUGCUGGGAAAUAACUGAAUAUUCUUCUAAAUUGGGUGAGUUCUUUUCCCCCCAUGCAUGGCUGAUUUGUUCUGUCAACCAUAACCUGCCAUGGAGCAAGACCUUUUGAAGUCCAUGCUUCAGCAACAAAGGUGACUCACAAGGUGAUACAGAUCAGAUAAACUGGAUCCUCAGUGCCGAGCCGGUCCUGUUCUGUGCCCUGCAGAGCAAAUCUGUUGCAAUUUCAUAGUCUUUGUGCUUCUUUUUGGUCUCUGCCUGCAUUAUCACACCUAUUGGGACACAAUAGCAAAAGCAGGUGAGGAUGGAUGUCUUGGGCAUCUCAGGCAUGAUCUGCAAUGAUCUGCAGUAAAAGCUCAUCUUCCAACAGAACUUCACACCGUGAACAGCACAAGUCAUCCACAGCAGAGGAUUAAGGUGCAGAGCUGGUAGAAGAUGAGCUCAGGAUGUCAAGUGGGUCAAACACUGUUUAUCUUGGAUGCUAAAAUCUACAACAGAAAAAUGAUGUAAGUUUCCUGAAGGGACAGAUAACCUAAGAAAGUACUUCAUCUCUUAUUACAUGUACUUAUUUUAUUGCAGGGUAACAAAGCACCAUGUUGACCUCCCACACUACCACAGGGCAUUAAUUAAUAGCAUAGUAAUUUAUAAACUACAUGAUACAUAUUACUGGGCCUUUUUUUUUCUAUCCACAUCUCCUAAAUCCCACUGUCCACUGGCAGAUUGCUUUCCACUGGUAAUUGUGUGAGGAAUGUGGAGGUGAAAAAUCGCACAGGGGCUGCAGCUACCAGGAGAGUCCCACUCUUGCACACCCAGGAUAGCAGUUUUGCUGGAAGGGUUCAUAUAAACAUUCCAGUUAACAUUUCCCACCGACAGUUUGUGUUAUGGGCUUUUUGUAGCCUGAGCUAAUUAAUCAAUAUUCAGACAUACACUAAAUAUGCUCAUCUUUAAACUUUAUAAUAGUAAAAUAAGUACCCUUCAAGUUGCUACAUAACAUUUUUAGUUAGGGGAUGUUGCUAUCACUGUGUAGAACAUGCAGACUGCAAUGUUGUCUGGCCAUAAAAACAGAUUUGCCAAGCCCCAAGGUGUUAACAAACCACCUUCUACUAAAAGCAGAAGCAAGAGGCCACUCCAAUGCACAGGAAGCUCAGCAGCUGUCUACAUGAACAUCACAAGCAAGGCACAGAGAAGCUGCUCUAGCAGUGACCAAACCCUACAUGACUGUAGUUGUUUUCAUGUUUCAUUUUCCAUAGCAAUUUUCAUUCUGUUGGACUCCAGAUGCAGUAAGACUCUUGUAACCACCCCAUGCCUUACCAGGGAAAAAAUCCACUGCCUCUUAUAAACAAAACUAAUCCUAAACAAGACUCAAGUGGGAAGACUGUUUUGACAAUUGGCUUCUCCAUGGAUUAGGAUGUUCCUGAUUGACAGUUUUUUCUGUAAAAACAAAGCUGGAUUUCUUUCUUUCGUUUAUAUACCUCCAUAUCUAUUUUACCUGAAAUUAUGGCAAGGACAACUAAUCAAUUUAUAUUAAUAAAGCUGAGUAAUGAAUCUCCCUUACAGAAGCAUAUAAACACGUUAGAAGCUACAGGAAGCACGGACAUUUAUGGCAAGUUGAAAUACAAGUUUUUCCUGUUCUCUGGCUACAAGAACAUGAUGUCCCACCCACUGCUCAUUGUUGCACUUACUGAUUUUUUUAUAUGAACAGCUGUGCUAGAAAGAUGAAAGAAUUUCACUAAGUUCAUGGGUGUGAUAAGAACCAUCACUAAAGAUUCAGACAUUCCUUUAAAUAUAUUUCAACCAUUUCUGAUCCUGAAAUGGUCCUCAGGUCCUCUGAUGAAGAUCAAACUUUGUAUCAGCCUACAGUGUUUGACCCAUAUUUUCCGUCUCUAUACCAUAUUGAAAGGAAGGUCAGGGCUCAGCUAGCGGGGAAAGGAGGUUAACAAAAAACCAAACAAUUGACGAUUUAUAGGAAAUAGAACUUGGCAACUAGGAGGGUUAUUUCUCCUUUGAUAUGGUUUUUUUUUUUUUGGUUUGGGGUUUUUAUAAGGGGAACGAUCUGGGGUUUUUUUAGGGAAAUGAGAUUUAUGCAGUUGCCUAAUCUGGUACAGUUUUUCUUCCUAUUUUCUUAUCCACAGCAUUUUUUAAACCACAAGCUGAACUGAAGCAAAAUCUUAUCAACUAUAUCAUGAGGUUCUUGAAAACAUCUCUUCAAUGUUUUGAUAACCUGUCUAACAGACCCUUGGGUUUUAGGCAAAAUGCAAAGGAGUAGACAUUGCUUGCCUCUUGUAGAGCUCACAUAGAAUUCACUAAGGUUCAGGAAGUGACCUUUAAGAUCACUGAGUCCAGUCUUUAACCCAGCAACACCAUGUUUAUCUCUAAACCAUGUCCCCAAGCGCCAUAUCCACAGACCAAGAGGGCAGAAGGUUCAAGAAGGGGGAUUUUUUUCACUUUUUUUCUACUGCCAUGGCUAGAGGGGUCUGGUACCCUUGCAGAGGGCUGUACACCGUAGGGUGUACUUGCUACUGAUACCUUGUCUAAGAGGGCUCUGGUGAUUCACCUUUAAACAUCUGUAGGCCUUUACAUCUAAAACCCUGCUGCAUCACCUCAUGUAGUUGUGUUGCAGCACCAAGUGGACCAAGCCCUGAGCAGCCUAUCACAUCCCAUCCCAGAACUGCGUGGCUUUGGCAGGAGGUUGAAAAGGAAACCCUGCAAGGGCUCUGCAGCCCCAGCAGUGCUCUGAGGCUGCAGCCACAUUCCAGGCCAGGAGAUGUGACUGGAAAAAUAGAAUUAGAAGGAGGCUAGCACAAUUAGAAUCAAGCAGACCUAGCCUCAUGGGACAUACAGUUUGCCAGACUAACAUGAUUUUUUAAAUGAAGCUUCUUUUCAGCAGCUAGGGUGUAUGCAGUCACGCUGUCAUUCACCUGCUUCUCCUCCCAUCAUAUCUUCUCUUUCUUCCCAGCUGCUUCUGGGUACAAGCUAGCAAGCCUAGAAAGCCAGCUGGGGGAAAGGAGCACAGCUAACAUGCCCAUCAUCUAACCUUCUUUGGACUCCAACAGAGACAUACUGCUACCAAAGACUUCUGAUUGAUUUUUACCUCCUUCCUAAGGACACCACAUUACUGAAGACUCACAUUUCAGGUGCCCUCAUUUUUUCAGUGGUAUGACCAUAGUUUCCAACCCUGCUUUUCUUCCUGCUGCUUGACUCUUUCCUUUGCAUUGAUGAUCAUCUCAGCAAGGAAACUCAGUCAUCUUUCAAAAUAUCUGCUUUCCUUUAUACAGUCACCCAAGGGAUGCAGAAAGCUCAGCCUCACGUGUCAUGUUGCUCCUUUCCAAACCUGCUUUCUCCUACUGGAUCCUGUGAUCUGCAAGGACCAUGCCAACAGCUUGGGGCACAGAGCUGCUUCUCAGCUCUGGUGUUGAGGAGCACAAUAGGGAGUGUUCCAGACCUGUCUUACACACACAAAUCUCUGUGCUUCUCAUUUCUGUACAAGGGACUUGAGCAGGUCCCCCAGUUUGGACAAACAGAAGAGAAGAACCUCAGGACAGAGGCAGCCAAAGACACUGAAAUAUUUUUUUUUGCCUGUGAGAGGAAGUAUGAUAAAUUUGAAAUGGUCACCCACAGUGGCUCACAGUAGCACUGUAAGGCAACUGAAACCAUGAGGAAAAAAGCCACAAGAUACCACCAUGCAAGAGCCAAAAGUUAGCAGCUGGAGAGCAAGUGGACAGCUAAAAGGGGAACACAGUACUGCUGACUCUGCAUUCGUAUUUUACCCACUAAGUGUACUGCUGAGAAAGAAAAGUGCUGGUGCCACAUUGCUACUAUUGCAGCUUUAAAAGAGACAGUGAGAUUAUUUAGUUACAGCAAAUAAAUCACUGCAGGACUGGGUGAAUGGGAAAACAAUGGUCCUAAAAGGUUAAAAAUUUUUCUGAGAACAUAUCCAUAAGGCAUCAAAAUAUGUGAAACUCAUUCUUCACACAACAGCCCUCAGCUGUUGUGUAAGCAAAAAAUCCCCAAAUGAUUUCAGGCUUGCAGCUAUUAGCAUGAGGUUGAGAAACACAAGUUUGUUUGCUCUUACAGAGAGGGUAAUUUAAAAGAAAUAAAGGAUACAACUAUGCAAACACA
This is a long non-coding RNA of Parus major (Great Tit), 5160 nucleotides long. RefSeq lists it as uncharacterized. Lineage: Eukaryota; Metazoa; Chordata; Aves; Passeriformes; Paridae. The transcript is spliced from 3 exons. The record is from RefSeq and is a predicted model, not a curated record.